This 1182-nucleotide long non-coding RNA is filed under the name Papio anubis (olive baboon). Its description in RNAcentral is "lncRNA (ENSPANG00000039914.1)". The record is from RNAcentral. Lineage: Eukaryota; Metazoa; Chordata; Mammalia; Primates; Cercopithecidae.
AGUUUGUCCCCUGGAUAAUGGCAAGGAUGAAAGAUAUAGAAGGUAUGUAGAACUAAUUUGAAAGUUCUUGUUCCCAAUCCUGACAAUCCUUGGGUGUGAUGCAUUUUUCUUUCUCUUAACCACAGGUGAGCCUGCCACCCCACAUCUCCAGGUGGAGGCCUGGCCAGAAGGAGGCCUAAAAUCUCAAAAUUCAUUUUGGUUCAGCCAUCUGGAUUUGCUUUUUCAAUUUACAUGACUAAAAUCAUGAAGACACUGACUACAUCACUGAGCACACUGCUCCCUCAGUUCUCCUAUGGUUGUCCUCUUGGGCCAAAAUACAACACUGCAACCUGGCAAAACAAUCAGAUGGUCUGCCUGAGUAAAGGAGCAUUUGCCAUUGGUAAUCUGACCCUUUGCUGAGAAAACAGAAAAAGUUAUGUGUACCUGGCCAGCUCUGAACUAUUUUGUUGUUCUUGAUGCUAUCAAUAGCCUUGAUGUCUAGGUGCCCUUGAGUUAUAUCAUAUAUAAUGGUUGAGGCUGCAAUUUCUAGGUAACCCUGCCCGUGUGUAUUCACCAAAUCAAGGUAAUGAUGAUCCCAAACAGGUUCAAAAUAUAUACAGACAAGAAUAACCUGUAUACAUUCAGAUUUUAUGUUUGUAUGCGGGAGAUCAUGGACCAAAAUAUUUCUCUCGAUGGGGGUAGGGACUGCUUUCUGGCCCGUGUAUUACUCCCUUGUACUUAUUGGCAAUGACACUUAAAGAGCAACAGAUUAGUUGCAACUCUCUUGUAUGGGUAAUAAUGAAUAAAAGACUUGGCCUCAGACUGCAACCUGGCUGCGUAAAAUAUGACUUACUGAUCCUGCUAAAACAUAUUCAUUAUUGACUGAUUUUGGGAUUCUGGGGAUAUAGUUGAGGCCAAUACUGUGGGUUGGAAUCCUACUGUUUGACAGAUUGUUAAUUAAAUGCUUUGUAAAAAUUGAAUGGGUUUGGUUGCAGCCUCUGCCAGUCAGAUUAAUCAGAGUGACCAAUGUAGUACAUUAAAAAAUUUUCUAGAAGCCAAGUCAUAUUAGGACCAAAUGGAGGAAAUGGUUGGGAGAUAUUCCUGGGUCUUCUGCAUUCCUUGACUUGCUGGACGUGCCAAGUAGACCCUGUCUGCUCUUUAUCUGGGCCAUUUUUCAGGGUUGCAUUACUAAAGAGAUUAUAU